This 890-nucleotide ribosomal RNA is filed under the name uncultured Methanosaeta sp. Its description in RNAcentral is "bacterial SSU rRNA". It matches the Rfam family "Archaeal small subunit ribosomal RNA", at positions 18 to 908 of the family's 1478-position model. The record is from RNAcentral. Lineage: Archaea; Methanobacteriati; Methanobacteriota; Methanomicrobia; Methanotrichales; Methanotrichaceae.
CMSAGGUUACUGCUAUCGAGAUUCGASYAAGCCAUGCGAGUUGAAUGUUCUUCGUGAACAUGGCGGACUGCUCAGUAACACGUGGACAACCUACCCUUGGGUCCGGCAUAAUCCUGGGAAACUGGGAAUAAUUCCGGAUAGGUCACCGAUGCUGGAAUGCGCGGUGGCCGAAAGCUCCGGCGCCCGAGGAUGGGUCUGCGGCCUAUCAGGGUUGUAGUGGGUGUAACGUACCUACUAGCCUACGACGGGUACGGGUUGUGAGAGCAAGAGCCCGGAGAUGGAUUCUGAGACACGAAUCCAGGCCCUACGGGGUGCAGCAGGCGCGAAAACUUUACAAUGCGGGAAACCGUGAUAAGGGGAUCUCGAGUGCCAGCAUAUAAUGUUGGCUGUCCAGAUGCCUAAAAAGCAUCUGUUAGCAAGGGCCGGGCAAGACCGGUGCCAGCCGCCGCGGUAACACCGGCGGCCCGAGUGGUAACCGCUAUUAUUGGGUCUAAAGGGUCUGUAGCCGGCCAGGUAAGUCCCUUGGGAAAUCUGGCAGCUCAACUGUCAGGCUGCUAGGGGAUACUGUUUGGCUUGGGACCGGGAGAGGUGAGAGGUACCUUGGGGGUAGGGGUGAAAUCUUGUGAUCCUCGAGGGACCACCAGUGGCGAAGGCGUCUCACCAGAACGGGUCCGACGGUAAGGGACGAAAGCUAGGGGCACGAACCGGAUUAGAUACCCGGGUAGUCCUAGCCGUAAACGAUGCUCGCUAGGUGUCAGUCACGGUGCGACCGUGAUUGGUGCCGUAGGGAAGCCGUGAAGCGAGCCACCUGGGAAGUAUGGCCGCAAGGCUGAAACUUAAAGGAAUUGGCGGGGGAGCACUACAURCGGGUGGAGCCUGCGGUUUAAUUG